GCCAGACUCCUACGGGAGGCAGCAGUGGGGGAUAUUGCACAAUGGGGGGAACCCUGAUGCAGCGACGCCGCGUGGGUGAAGGAGCGUUUCGGCGCGUAAAGCCCUAUCGGCAGGGAAGAAGGAGGACGGUACCUGACUAAGAAGCCCCGGCUAACUACGUGCCAGCAGCCGCGGUAAUACGUAGGGGGCAAGCGUUAUCCGGAUUUACUGGGUGUAAAGGGGGCGCAGACGGCAGCGCAAGCCAGGAGUGAAAGCCCGGGGCCCAACCCCGGGACUGCUCUUGGAACUGCGCGGCUGGAGUGCAGGAGGGGCAGGCGGAAUUCCUAGUGUAGCGGUGAAAUGCGUAGAUAUUAGGAGGAACACCGGUGGCGAAGGCGGCCUGCUGGACUGUAACUGACGUUGAGGCUCGAAAGCGUGGGGAGCAAACAGGAUUAGAUACCCGCGUA
This 446-nucleotide ribosomal RNA is filed under the name uncultured bacterium. Its description in RNAcentral is "partial 16S ribosomal RNA". It matches the Rfam family "Bacterial small subunit ribosomal RNA", at positions 330 to 792 of the family's 1533-position model. The record is from RNAcentral.